This 613-nucleotide ribosomal RNA is filed under the name Cryptosporidium environmental sequence. RNAcentral describes it as "SSU rRNA". It matches the Rfam family "Eukaryotic small subunit ribosomal RNA", at positions 416 to 1053 of the family's 1831-position model. The record is from RNAcentral. Lineage: Eukaryota; Apicomplexa; Conoidasida; Eucoccidiorida; Cryptosporidiidae.
CUAAGGAAGGCAGCAGGCGCGCAAAUUACCCAAUCCUAAUACAGGGAGGUAGUGACAAGAAAUAACAAUACAGGACUUUAAAUAGUUUUGUAAUUGGAAUGAGUUAAGUAUAAACCCCUUUACAAGUAUCAAUUGGAGGGCAAGUCUGGUGCCAGCAGCCGCGGUAAUUCCAGCUCCAAUAGCGUAUAUUAAAGUUGUUGCAGUUAAAAAGCUCGUAGUUGGAUUUCUGUUAAUAAUUUAUAUAUAAUAUUUUUAUUAAUAUUUAUAUAAUAUUAACAUAAUUCAUAUUACUAAAUUUUUAUUAGUAUAUGAAAUUUUACUUUGAGAAAAUUAGAGUGCUUAAAGCAGGCAUUUGCCUUGAAUACUCCAGCAUGGAAUAAUAUAAAAGAUUUUUAUCUUUUUUAUUGGUUCUAAGAUAAAAAUAAUGAUUAAUAGGGACAGUUGGGGGCAUUUGUAUUUAACAGUUAGAGGUGAAAUUCUUAGAUUUGUUAAAGACAAACUAGUGCGAAAGCAUUUGCCAAGGAUGUUUUCAUUAAUCAAGAACGAAAGUUAGGGGAUCGAAGACGAUCAGAUACCGUCGUAGUCUUAACCAUAAACUAUGCCAACUAGAGAU